GAACCCAGGAUUUUGCACACCUCAGGUGAUCUUUCUGCCAUAGAGCAAAACCUCCAGUCUACAGAGCAGUUUUCAGCAAAGAGAACGUGAAUGGAAAGUUGUCAGCUAACAUCUCAAGGACACUUCAUGACCCAGGCCCUGUGCAAGGUUCUAUAACAGAAUGAAGAAGGUGUGGACACUUACCUGUGGGCUGAGGCUUGGAGGACAUUGUUCAGGUUCCUGCUGAAGCCAGAGUUCUGGAGAUGGACGGCUGGUCAAGGAAAUGAAGGCCCUGGAGAAGAUCUGCCAAAGAAACUUACUUCUAAGGAGGCCCGCGAUCUCAUGAAAGUGAUCAGCAGAUAAAUCAACUUAAGAGAUUCAGAUGCUCUACAGUUUCCAGCAUCCAGAACAGGACCGGCGCUGCUUGCUCCACCUUCACGUUGUUGGCUAACAGUGGACUUAACGGACUUACCAGGGGAAGACUGCUCUUCUGACUGGAGGCUAGGAGGCUGCCUUCCCUUCUCUGACGUCAUUCUGCCAGAAU
This is a long non-coding RNA of Chionomys nivalis (European snow vole), 523 nucleotides long. RefSeq lists it as uncharacterized. NCBI's taxonomy places the organism in Eukaryota, Metazoa, Chordata, Mammalia, Rodentia, Cricetidae. The transcript is spliced from 4 exons. The record is from RefSeq and is a predicted model, not a curated record.